Molecule: ribosomal RNA, 375 nt
Filed under: uncultured bacterium
Lineage: Bacteria
Description: bacterial SSU rRNA
Rfam family: Bacterial small subunit ribosomal RNA
Source: RNAcentral
UACGUAGGGUGCAGGCGUUAAUCGGAAUUACUGGGCGUAAAGCGUGCGCAGGCGGUUUCUUAAGUCAGAUGUGAAAGCCCCGGGCUUAACCUGGGAACUGCGUUUGAAACUGGGAGACUUGAGUGUGGCAGAGGGGGGUGGAAUUCCACGUGUAGCAGUGAAAUGCGUAGAUAUGUGGAGGAACACCGAUGGCGAAGGCAGCCCCCUGGGUUAACACUGACGCUCAUGCACGAAAGCGUGGGGAGCAAACAGGAUUAGAUACCCUGGUAGUCCACGCCCUAAACUAUGUCAACUGGUUGUCGGGGGAUUAACUCCCUUGGUAACGAAGCUAACGCGUGAAGUUGACCGCCUGGGGAGUACGGCCGCAAGGUUAAA